Molecule: non-coding RNA, 121 nt
Organism: Picea glauca (white spruce)
Lineage: Eukaryota; Viridiplantae; Streptophyta; Pinopsida; Pinales; Pinaceae
Source: Rfam
ACAUGCCUACAACAUAGCUUAAAUGCACAUGAUCUCAUUAGAACUCCGUAGUUAAGCGUGCUUGAUUUAGAGUAGUAUUGGGAUGGUUGACUGCCCGAGAAGUCCUAGUAUUUUACAUGCG